UUCGUUUAAAUCAAUUUUAAAAUGCAUAACUACUAUCUAUUUUCUCUUCCUGUUUCAUAAGUAUAAAAGCCCCGUCUAACGUUAUUUAUCCCAGUUUUGUGUUUCAGGACAAACUGAUUUGGAUAAUUUGCUCAAGGACAAUGGAUCGAUAACGUGAAAAAUGAAAACAUUCUUCCAGUUUGUAUGCUUAUACGCGGCAUUAUAUCUAUUUUCAGGAUAUGAUACCGUGAAUAUCAAUGGUAUUAGGCUGGCAGACGGAGAUGGAACCUAUCAAGGACGUGUAGAAAUAAGCAUUGAUGGAGUUUGGGGAACUGUCUGUGAUAACAAUUUUGACAUGGCUGAUGCAAUCGUGAUGUGCCGUAUGAUGAAUUUUUCGGCGACAUCCUUUCAUACGGGAUCCCAUUUUGGAGAAGGUGUGGGACCGGUUUUUGCGAGGGAAUUCCAUUGCAGAGGAUAUGAGUCAACCCUGCAAGAGUGUACAUUUGUUCCGAAUGAAUUCAUAUGCUCUCAUGAAAGAGAUGUUGGGAUCACAUGUACAGAAUGUGGAGAGAUAACGAUAGCUAAUGGACAAGUUGUUUCGGUUUUUGCUAAUGGGACAACUGUUACAGCAAGAUGUGAUACAGGAUAUGUAUCUGGCACCUAUAUAAGCCACUGUGAUAGUAAUGGAAAAUGGACACCUAUUACAUGUUUGCCAAUAGGUUAUCCUCUUAACAUUUCCGGAAUACGGUUGGUGAAUGGCAUUGGCUUAUUCGAUGGUCGAGUGGAAAUUUUAAUCAACAACACCUGGGGAACUGUUUGUUCCUACUCCUUCAGAAAUAAUGAAGCAAGCGCUAUUUGCCGUAUACUUGGAUACGAGGGAUACAGACGUUAUUAUACAAGUGCAUAUACGUAUGGUGAAGGGGUCGGUCCGAUUUUCGUAACUGAGCUAGAUUGCCCGUAUCGGGCGACUGAUUUCAACAACUGCACAUACAAAGUUAAUAACUCAUGUACUCAUUAUAGUGAUGUUGCUGUUGCUUGUACUGAUACCCCUCUUAAUAUCACAAACAUACGUUUGGUAAAUGGAAAUGGAUCAUAUGAUGGUCGUGUUGAACUAAUGGCAAACGGUGUUUGGGGAACAGUAUGCUCUAGAUAUGUCGGCGAGGAAGAAGCUACAACAUUUUGCCUCAUGAUGAAUAGAAGCCUUGGUAUGUAUUACCGAUCUACUGUAUUGGCAGCAGAGAGUCUUCCUGUAUUGAUAGGAAAUAUGCAUUGUUCAACAGGGAAGGACCACAUUAACGACUGCUCUUACUACUCCCCGGACAAACUGUAUUGUCCACAGAGCAAUGCAUUAUCUCUGCUUUGUUUACCAUGCAGCCUAGAUUUUAUGCAUGGCUCUAUCACUGCUUUUGAUGGCACGAAUAUUACAAUCACUUGUGACGAUGGAUAUGAACCAGAGAAAACGUAUGUUCAGUGUUUGGAAAACGGACAUGUUAUCUAUGAUAAAGUAUGCACAUCAAUAUUUAGUUAUCCACUAGAUAUCAGCAGUUUUCGUAGGGUUGGGAAUCGAAUUGAAAUUAUGGUUGAAGGAGAAUGGGGAACAAUAUGCUACGACGGUUUCGAUUCGAAUGACGGGCACGUUAUUUGUAAAAUGUUUGGAGAAAACUACAAGUCACACACCAGAGGAGGGGAUGGAAAUGGGCCUAUCUUCAUACAGAACUUGAUGUGUACUGGUUCAGAAUCACAUAUAAGUGAAUGCACAUAUAACGUACCAAACAACUGUACACACAAAGAUGAUGUAGAAGUUGUAUGUACAGACUAUCCAUUAAAUAUUAGUAACAUUCGGCUUGCCAGUACUGUAAGUGGUCGACAGGGACGAGUUGAAAUAGAAGUUGGAGGUGUGUGGGGAACAGUAUGUGAUGACGACUUUUCUAGAAAUGAUGCCUUAGUAAUAUGUCGAAUGCUUGGAUUGAAUGUCUCGUAUUCACACGCGCAUUAUUUUGGCAAUGCUCACUAUGGACCUGGAAAUGGAACAAUAUUUGUGGAUGACCUUUCCUGCAGUGGUGACGAAUAUCACAUAAAUGAUUGUAGCUAUUUACCUGAACAUAAUUGUGCUCAUAACGAGGACGUAUCAGUAAUAUGCCUAGAGGAUCUUAAUGUUACGGACGCUAGACUUCUAAAUGGGACUGGUCCCUUCGAUGGUCGAGCGGAGAUUAAAAUAAAUGAUAUUUGGGGUACAAUAUGUGACCACAAUUUUGAGCUUUUGCAAGCGAACGCCUUUUGCAGCAUUCUCGGAAAACGGGCCACCCAACGCUUUACCGGUGCCAGGUAUGGUCAAGGUAGUGGUAUAAUAUAUGACGUAUCCUGUUUAGAUAUGGAAAUAAGCAGUUGCCGGUUCGAGAUAGCAGACAGAUGUACCCAUGAGAGAGACGCGUCAGUUGUAUGCAACGAUUGUGGUGAACCAGAAAUCUCACACUGGGGCGUAGACUACUUUACAUAUAAUGGAUCAACCUUAUAUGCAGACUGUUCAUAUUACAAGUCGUAUGUUGGUACCCUAACACUGUUGUGUAACAAUGAUACCGAUCAAUGGGAAACAGUAGGAGCAUGCAGAGAAUACAGCUUCCCGCUUGAUAUAACCGGCGUCCGCCUUGUUGGUGGGGAAUCUAUAUCAAGGGGAAGAGUGGAGAUCCUUUCAAUGGAUACAUGGGGAACAAUUUGUGAUCAUUCAUUCGGAAUGAAUGAGGCUGAUGUGAUUUGUUCAAUGGUUGGCUUUCCUCCCGCAGUUAUGUACUACACAUCAGCAUAUUACGGUGAAGGUACGGGACCUAUAUUUGUGGACGAGCUUAAUUGUGGAGAAAACACGUCGCACAUUAACAACUGCACCUACAAUACAUAUGACAGCUGCGGCCAUGCGGAUGAUAUAUCUGUAGUUUGUUCAGAAUGUGAAGGUCUGGAGGUAGACAAUGGAUUCAUUAAUUCUACCGUGAACAGGUAUGGCGACGCGGUUGAAGUCAGUUGUGCCAGAGAUCAUAAACUAAACGGGAAUUCUGUCAUUAUCUGCAACAGUGAUGGUUCUUGGAGCGAUUACCCAACAUGUUCAGUCAUUGAUUGCGGAGACCCUACUCCGGAUCACGGGUUUAGUAACGCAUCUACCACUUUAAAUGGAACGGUAGUUUCUGUUGAGUGUUACGAGGGAUAUAGUACAGUUGGUGACAAUAUUAUCAGUUGUCAAGAAAAUGAAACCUGGACAGAUGAAACAGGAUGUGAAAUUAAAGAUUGUGGAUAUCCUAGUGUAUCAUAUGCAGAAGUGACCUUACCUGAUAACAAGACAACAUACGGUGAAACAGCUCGUUUAAGUUGCUGGACUGGAUAUGCCCUCACUGGUAAUCCUGCUGUUACGUGCCUAUCAAAUGGAAGUUGGGAAAUUAUGCCUACAUGUACAAUUGUUGAUUGCGGUGAUCCUACUCCGAUCAAAGGAUCCUCAGACAAAAACGAAACAACCUUUGGCACUGUCGUUAAGGUAACGUGCGAUCCUGGGAACAACAUCAUCGGGAACUCGACAAUUACUUGCCAAGACGAUGGAACAUGGUCUGAUAACCCAGUCUGUGAUGCAAUAGAUUGCGGCUUGCUGUCAGUGCCAAACGGUAAAGUAAACGAUUCUCAAGGGACUACAAUAGGAUCAGUAAUUAAAAUAACGUGUGACGAAGGAUACAAUAUAAAGGGUACAUCAUUUGCCACAUGUAUGGACACUGGAACGCGUGCUUAUUGGAACUUCACGGGUGAUUGCGAAAUACAGGUCUGUCAAGACCCUACACCUGACAAUGGGCGUAUAUCUAAAACUGAUGGUAACAUCAGCUAUGUGUUUGCAAAUUACGCUGAAAUAGAAUGCAACACUGGGUACAAAGUGCAUGGAGACAAUGUGAUAACGUGUGAAGCUGAUGGUGAAUGGAGUGAUAACACAACCUGUGUGAUAUUUGACUGUGGAUCACUUACGGCACCUUUACAUGGAACUAUGGCCGAUUUGCAAGGGACAAAGUACCAUGCUGAAAUAAGAUUUAGCUGCAAUGAAGACUUUCUUCUUCUUGGCGAAGAAAGUACCGUAUGUGAAGAAACAGGAGAAUGGAGUAAUGAGACUCCAGCAUGUGUAGCUAAAUCUGAUGUUGGAGAUACCUGUAUACAUAAAGAUUAUUGUUUAUUAGCGGAUUCUCAGUGCAUUAACUCUGUUUGUACGUGUAUCACUGGAAUAUAUGAUAGUCGCACAAAGAAAUGUGACACAAUGCCUCUGAUGCCUUUUGGUGAAAAAGAGGGUGAUACUUCGGUUUCAAAUAGAACAGACUGCAGUCACAAAGUAUCAUUUGAGCCCAGAUUUCCUAUUUUUGACCAGAUGCACACAGAUUUGUAUGUUUGCAAGUACGGAUUAGUUAGCUUUGAUACUCCAUUUGCCAAUCCGACACCUCCUGCAAACAAACAGAGCUUGGCUAGUCUUGGCUUACAGAAGACCAUACUCGCACCUUUCUAUGGACCGAUAGAUAAUAAGAAGUCUGGACCAGUGUGGUUCAGAUCAUAUAACAUUUUGAAUUCUCAUCGGAAAAUGGAAAAGCAUUCUGACCUGAUUUCAUAUAUAGAGAACAUUGUCAAAAAAUUUGAAGAUCUUCCUUCGUAUAACGCCAGUUUUGUUUUGAUUGCAACAUGGUAUCAAGCGAAAGCAGUAGGAAGUGGAUAUGACAAAACAAAGAGUUCUACAUUCCAAGUUGUCUUAACUUCCGACGGGAAGACAACAUAUGCAUUUUACAUUUAUGGAAAUGGUAUGAUGCAGUGGGUCAACAACUUGUCUACAGACCUUAAUGUGUGGGUCGGAUACACAGUAAAUUCUCUUACCAACACACAUCCCUAUUCUUUUACUGAUGCGGCGUUGCAAUUAGAUUUGAAGCUUACGAUUUCGUCCUCUGAAAAAGAUGUAGCUGGACUGAUCUUCAGACCACUGAAUUCGCAAGGCAAACAACGCGACAACCAUGCUGUUGACUGCAUUAGAUGGUACAAUGAGAACUACAAAGAGAAGAAACGACUUGAUUACGUUGCAAGCCUUAUACCAGAUUGUCCAUGUGAUAUACGAUUGUCACGAUUCGAUCCUUGGUUUUGGCGAAUUGGGUUGUACCGAUGGCGCCAAGAUUUGAAAUAUCAAUGUGUUGAUAUGCUGCACGUGGGGAACCUUGGACAUUAUGGGAAGUCCUGUUGUUAUGAUUUGAGAACCUGGCUUUGGGUAUACGAAAGACCACUGGCUGGCAGUUUCCAGCUUUUUAACCGACACCAUCCCUUAGAACACAAAAUAAACGAUGUUCAACCAAAAACAAAGUGUUGUGUUUUGUCGAAAUAUUGUAAUCUCUACUACGAUUUAAGACCGACUGGAAGCUGUUAUAGAACAUCGCCGUAUAAUUUUGGAACAUUCUGGGGAGAUCCGCAUUUCAGUACAUUAGAUGGUAUGAAUUUCACGUUCAAUGGACUUGGAGAGUAUACACUUUUACAAAUUGAAACAGAAAACUGCUCUUUUGAUCUGCAAGCAAGAACCGAAAGAGCUAUUAAAGGAAAUGGCAAUUUAUCUGAUGCCACAGUUUUCACAGCAUUUGCUGCGAAAGAUUCACAUAAUUCAUCAGCUCAUAUAGAACGCAAUGAGGAACGAACUGGAAUAAAUCUAUACGGAAACAAGGUGGAUCUGACAGACAAGUAUAACUCAAAUACAAAUGAAACGGACCCAUUUACGUGGUCAUCAAAGGACGGAAAGUUGGUUAUUUCCAAGCAAAAUGGCAGUGUGAACGUCUUCUUCCCAGCAUGUAAUGUAUCUCUUAUAAUAGCAAUUGGUGUCGAAAUGCUUUCUUUGAGCACGUUUGUCCCUGAAAAGUUUAAAAAUCAAACAAAAGGACUACUUGGAAAUUACAAUGGUGAUGCAAUCGAUGACUUUACUAUGCCGAAUGGAACAGCCUUAAAGCCAAACCUUACUGACAGAGACAUUUUUGAAUACGGGAAAACAUGGACAAUAAAUCCGAACAACUCUGCUUUUGUAUACGAUGAUGGGGGAUCCCAUUUCGACUUUCACAACGAUUCGUAUGUACCAAGAUUUUUAGACGAAGCUGACCCUGAGCUGAGAGCUAAAGCAAUUGAAGUAUGUAAUGGUCCCGAGAACACAGAAUGUGUGUUUGACUAUGUUUUCACUGAAAAUCCAGACGUUGCAGAGAAAACUAAACAGGUCAAAGGACAGGCAGAAACAGACAAAAUAGAAAUUGAGGAGACUGUUCCGUUACUUGAAGGAUGUUCAACUGUAAACGUGACAAAAGGACAGAGUGCAUCGUGCAAAGUAAGCGUUGAUGUCGGCUAUACAGUACACAUUGUUUCAAACAACGUUAGCGCUGAAUUUGACCAGGCGUCUUCUACUGUUACAUUCGUUCCGGAAACAGAUGAACCUGUCUCGAUCCGAGUUGCGGCUGCAAACGAGAACGGUCGAUACUCUCCGACAUUUUCUUUGAGUAUAUUACUGUGUACCGAUUGUAAUGGACAUGGUGUAUGUACAGGUGUCCCAAGGAAUGAUCCACGAGAAAACGAGUAUUUUCAUUAUUCCAUGUGCGAAUGCGACCUUGAAUAUGAAGGACCUGACUGUGAACGUGUGUUUGACGGAUGUGCGGCAAAACCGUGCUCAUUAGAUAGAGGAUGUGCAAGCCUAACGGCAGAACAACAAAAGAUACUGAAGACAUCUUAUAUAUGUGAGCCAUGUCCUGAUGGCUUUGAGGAUGACGGCGAGGAUGGAUGCAUCGAUAUUGACGAGUGUAGUGUUAGCAAAGGUAAUUGUGAACACAACUGCAAAAACACAGAGGGAAGUUUUGAAUGUACAUGUAAACAUGGAUAUAGAGUUAACAUCAAUGACAAAUUGAAGUGCAAAGAUAUAAAUGAAUGUGAAGAGGCUAUGCACAACUGUGACCAAUUAUGUAAUAAUACAGAAGGUGGCUUUAUUUGUCAGUGCUACGCCGGUUAUGGAUUUAAUACAACAUCAUGGUCAUGUGUUCAGAUAUCGGACAGUACAUGUGAUGAUACGAAGAAAGAUGAGUGCUCAAACACACAUGGCUGUACCACUAAGGACAAUGUUCCGCUUUGCUUCUGUAAAGACGGUCAUGAAUUAGAUGAGACUGGGACAAGCUGCAAAGAUAUUGAUGAAUGUAGUAGAGGGAUAUGUCCACAGGACUGUAUCAAUAUAAAUGGCAGUUUUCAGUGCAGGUGUUUUGCUGGUUACCGUUUGGAAGGAGUCGCAACAUGCACAGUAUGUGAUGUACUUCACUGGGGAGACAACUGCGAACAGGACUGUAUUUGUACUGGCCAAGGGGCGGACAGAUGUGACCCAGUCAAAGGGUGUGUAUGUGAAGACGGAUGGCAUGGUAACAGAUGUAAUGAUGAUAUUAACGAAUGUGAAUUGAAACAUCAGGCGUGCAAUGACCCGAGGAAAUUUUGUGUCAAUAGCCUAGGUUCAUAUACCUGUGAGUGUAGAGCAGGAUUUUACAAAACAGAUCAAGGAGACUGCAGAGAUACCGAUGAAUGUCCAGACCCGCUGCUGCAUAAUUGUACGCAAGAAUGCAUCAAUGCAAUUGGAGGUUAUUCCUGUGGGUGCAGAGAAGGAUACACGAAAAAAGACAAAUGGUCUUGUGAGGAUAUAGACGAAUGCGAGUUAGGUACAUCUAGCUGUGAACAGAAAUGUGUGAAUGACCAAGGCCAGUACAGUUGUUUUUGUCAUUUUGGAUACAGUAUUAACGAUGACCGAAGAACAUGUAGAAAACUUUCAGACCUUUGCCUGUCCAUUUAUAAUCUCACCUGUUCGCAUUUCUGCCUACCAGAUGUUGAUAACGCGGUGUGCGGCUGCAGAAGUGGCUAUAAGCUCAAACCUGACAAUGAAACGUGUAUAGAUAUCAAUGAAUGUACUGACGAUGAUGAAAACAAAUGCGACGCAGAUGCCACGUGUACAAAUACGGAAGGAUCAUACUUGUGUGAAUGUCCAGAUGGAAAACAUUUGGAAAAUGACGGACGCACAUGCUCAGAAUGUGAUGAUUAUCACUAUGGACGGAACUGUUUGAAGACCUGUAGUUGCUUACAUGGAAUUUGUGACAAGAGGACUGGUUGUGUUUGCAAUCCUGGAUGGGCCGGCACACUUUGUGACGCUGAUAUAGAUGAAUGCUCCACAGAACAAGUUGUAUGUAUAAAAGAAAAGUCCGUUUGUGUGAAUGUACUUGGAAGCGCCGUUUGUUCUUGUGAAACAGGAUACCAGAACCAGUCUGGAGUUUGCCAAGAUAUUGACGAGUGUGAUGAUGUGACAGCAAACGAAUGUGACCAGAUAUGUACCAACACAGAAGGAAGCUACACUUGCUCUUGUCAACAUGGUUUCUUUCGUAAUGGAAAAUGUACAGAUAUAAAUGAAUGCACUGGAAAUCAUGGUUGUGAUCAGAUUUGUGAAAAUACUGUGGGAAGCUAUAGAUGUUCUUGUGAGGGAGGUUUCAGGCUUAGCUUGAAUGAUCGGAAAAUAUGUUUGCCGGAACAAGAGUGCAGCGAAGAUCAAAGCAUGACUUGUCCAAAACAUUCAUCAUGUUUUGUUGAGAAUGGUGAAGUGAAUUGUCGAUGUUUGAAAGGCUAUCAAGGAGAUGGUAUUUGUAACGACACUGACGAGUGUUUGGCUGAUUUACAUCUAUGUUCGCAAAAGUGUUCGAACACUGAGGGCAGUUUCAUUUGCAGCUGUAAUGUUGGGUUUUUCCUACUAGAAGACACAGUUACAUGUAAAGAAUGUGAAAUGUGGAAGUAUGGAGAUAACUGUAGCAAAGCUUGCUCUUGUAACAAGCAUCACACUGAAACAUGUGACUCUGUUAAUGGAAAAUGCGUAUGUGUAUCAGGAUGGAGCGGAGCAACUUGUAACGUGGACGUUAACGAAUGUGAUGAUGGCAUGGUUUGCCCAAACAACUCUGUUUGUAAUAAUACAAACGGAAGUUACAACUGCAAAUGUCUAAAGGGCUACUAUAAAACUGGAAACAGAGAAUGUGAAGAGUGUACUGGCUGGACAUUUGGUGAUAAUUGUAUGUCUACCUGCAUUUGUAUCAAAACAAACACAGAAACAUGUGAUGCAAAGACAGGAACAUGUGUGUGUGAGGAGGGCUGGAAUGGAACAAUCUGUGAAAACGACAUCAACGAAUGCGCAAAUGAAACAGCUUGUCCUAAACACUCCAUGUGUUAUAACUCCGAUGGAAGCUAUGAGUGUAUCUGCAAUACUGGCUACCGACUGAUGUUUGAUGGAAAGUGUGAAACAUGCCCAGAUGGAACAUACGGUUUUAAUUGCAGUGAAGACUGUGCAUGUAAUCAACUAAAUUCGGAAUCCUGCAAUAACGUCUUUGGGAACUGUACUUGCAAAGAGGGUUGGAUUGGUUCGACUUGUUCUGAAGAUAUAGAUGAAUGCGAAGAAAACCCGACCUUGUGUCAGAGCAAAGAAAACUCAACAUGCGAGAAUACGAAUGGGUCAUACAAAUGUAGAUGUAAUGAGGGGUUACGUGAGCAAGGCAAUAUAUGUACAGAUUCAGCUAUUCUGAUCGCGGUAGUUGUUACAUUCGAGACAGAUCUUCCUGCUGGAACUAACAUCGACGUCACUAGCAUAUAUAUCAGCAUUGCAAAUAAACUUGUGACAACACUGCGUACAUUUCUUAAACGAUUUACGGACGCUCUGUUAGAAUUAAUUAUUACUGAUAUAAGUGUAGGUAGCGUUUUAAUUGCCAACUAUUCUGUCCAGUAUGGUAAGGCUGAUAAAGACGUUGCUUCCAAAUUAGUACAGGCAAUCAUCGAACUUCAAAAGGGUGUUGAACUUGUAUUCGAUGGACAGACAAUCAAUGCUUCGUCAGAUUCAUAUAAAGACAUGGCGCCAUGUGAGAUUCUUCACACGAUUGUUGAAAGUUGUGGAGAAGGAUAUACAUGUCAAGUAGAUGAUAAUAUACCAGUAUGUAGCUCAGAGAAGGGUCAGUCAAAAGUUAAGUGGCAGUUGGUCAUCAGCCUGUCAGCUGCUGGAUUAUUCAUUCUGAUUGUAGCAGCGUUAUUAGCUGUCACUGUACAUAGGCUGAGGCUGAGGCUGAGGCUGAGAAGAAGAAAUAGGGAGAACAGCUACUGUCCUCGAGGAGACCGUCAAGAAGGGACUAUGAAGGAUCUGGAUUUAACAGAAAUUUCCGAGGGAACGAUGAGUAACCGAGCGUCCUCAAGAAAUUCCCGUGCAAAUCGGUUUUAAAGAAUAUUGUAGUCAGUGCAUAAUUAUGCCAGACAUUUCAACGAUUUGUGAUUGUUACGAUGUGGAAUCUUCUACCACUGUUACUAUAUUUGCAGGGGUGGUUUUGACAUUAUUAAAUAUUCAUAUCAUGUUGGGUUUUUUUCAGAUAGAAAAAAGUAUAAACAGUUUUAGUUCGAUAACAUUAUGUAAACUUUUUUUUUUCAUUUUUUGUUAGUAAAUACAAUUAACACAAACUUGUCAUAUAUAUAUAGAUUAUUUCUCACUAUGACGACGUUCAUAUGUAAAUUUUUAUUGUGUGAGUAAUCUGACCUACGUUAACCAGAUUAGAACGUUAACGAAUAUUUUUGUUUCUCCACGUUUAUUAUACCAUCAAAAUACUUUGUAAACAGUUAUUAGAGAUUGUUGAUUUGUCAAUUUGUCAUUUAAUUUCGCGACUUGAUUUUGCGAAUGUUGAGGUUCAGUACAUGUCAAUAGCUUCGAAAUACUUUUAUAUACUUAAAGUUGGUGAAUUUUGUGACCAAAAUCCUUGAUAUCCGAUUUUAGUUGUUUAGGUGUAACCUGUCCUUUUUCUUUUGAGAAAAUGUUCAUUCGUACAUGUCAAAAUAUUUAAUAUUCUGCCAGUGGUUUGACCCUAUUAUAUGCCAAUUUGUUUCUUUCAAUUUAACUCUUCAGUUUGCACCUUCUUAUUUAUCUCAGCUGAAUAAAAAUAAAACAAAAUAGUUCCUUCCAAAUUUGAAGAAAGUUUGACUGAUAAUCUAGCAAUUCAUUUAUAAUGACAGAAACAGUAUACAUGCGUAUUUUGCUUUUCCGUGAGUUUUGGGAAAGUUACAGCAUAACUUUACAGCUGUUCAGUUGCUUGUGUAAUAGCUUAUUAGCGGAUCGUUUUCAUAGACUACUUCAUUAUCAUUUUUAUGUAAAAAGCAAUUUCAUUUAUAUAGAAACAAAAUUUUAUUAUCAUAUAAACAUAUAUACCAAAGCAACAUACAAUUUAAAUGAAAUGAAUAAGUAGGAAAGUGAUAGAUUUAAUAGGUCUCUAAAUAGUUAAUACCCGUAAAUUUCUAAAAAAUAACAAGAGUUUAGAAAUACCACAACAAUUUAUCAUAACUAAGAUUGAAAACUCUUUCAGCACUGUAGCUGUUAUUCUAAUGUCAAUGUUACAGAUAUUUUGACUUCUUCAUCUUAUGCAUAAAUCAUAUGCUCAUUCCAAGUCUAUAAGUCCAAUGCUCCAACAUGCAAUUUUUUAUUCUUUUAUCUCCUGGCUGUUAUCAGCCUAGUUACCUUGAAUAGAAGAUGUAUAAAUAUAUAUCUCUGUCUUCCAUUUAAAAAUGCUAUCUGUUAAAAUGAUAAGAAAAGAUCUUUUAGCCCUUCAAUUUUAACAUUGGGUGUUAAUACAUAGUAUAUAAUCAUAUCUGUGAGUUGUGUGCCAUUUAUAAUAUGUUACAUAGAAAACAUAAAUUAUGCAAAAAUAUUGGAAGAUAUUUUCAAGUGGAAAAAGUGUUGCCACCAACUGAAAUUAUAUAUUCAAGCAGGAAGUUUAAAACAGAAAUCAAACGUUACAUAUUCUUACAAAUCCUUACAAAAGCAGCUCAAUCUUUUAACACUUAGGGUACCUGUGUAUUGUGUCCAGUAAUGUAAUAUAAAGCAGAAUCAUAAACUUUUCCCAUAUCUUUUCUAAAUCAUUAACAUAACUCUUCAAGCUUUUUUGUUAUAUUUUGAAAUUUGUUAAAGAGUUUUAUCAUGAAACAAUUCUAUUUUCCAAGCGAGGUUUCCAACACACAGCGAAUAGAGACAAGUGGUUGUACAGCUGAAUGCCAACCAAUUUUAUGUUAUCACGAUUUUUGAAUUGUCAUAUGUCACAAUACAUAUUGCAUUAUGCUUAUUGUUUAGAAUACAAACAGGAUUUUUCAUUUAUUUUGAGGUAUUACAGAUACUUUGUUAAUUAUCAAACUCGGAAAAAAAAAUUAUAGUAAAAGUCAUGACAUGAGUUGUUUCCUAUUUUACAACUCAAAAAAUCAAAUAUGUUUAUGUAAUCUUAGCUUUCUUGGUAACCAGUGACCUUUGCUAGUAUUUUUGUUAAUGUUUGUAUGUUAUCAUAGGAGUGUGAAGACAAUACAUGAACUUUAAAAGGUCUGUCGCUGUCUAGGGUUUCUCACUGGGAAAAUGUGAGGUCAAAGAUCAACUGUGUACAUUCACAAAUAAACUACACCUUUGUACUCUUUAAGUUAUUUUCAUUUAUCCCGUUAAAAAGUUUAAAUAAGUUUCAUGUACCCUGGUAAUAAGACUGAUAAAAGUAGCAGCAAUUUUUUCUAAUACUUAUUCAUUAAAGUCUGUAUCUAAAAAUGUAAUCUCUGGUGAUGCUUGACAGCUCUUCUAAUCUUUAUAUAUGAUCAACUGCAAUAUUUCCGGACUGUCAUUUCCUUGGGAUCAUCUCAAGGCCACAAUAUUAAAAGAAAAAAUUUAGAAAAAUUUAGAAAAUUUAAUGAUUACUAACCAAACACAUAUUAUUCUGCAAAACAAUCAUGGUUUUGCUUUAAUAGCGAUAGUAUUAGAUGAGUUUAAGUGAUCAUAAAAUCAUUCAAAUGUUACUAGUAUCUAACAUUAUCUAUUGAUUUUCAAUUUUAACCGAAAAAUGUAAAAAUUCUGAAGAGCAGGAGGCAUAAUAUAACUCGUUUGGCCUUCGGCUGAUGCAGUCCUAAUAUAAAGCGUGAAUUGAGCAAUGGAUGAGAAAAUAUAAAGUACUUAAAACUAGUUUUGAUUUUCAAGAAAAAUUUGCUUUUUUCUACAAAUAUAAAGAUAAUUGUUGUGAAGCCUACGCAUGGAAUUGAAACCAGGUUUUAGAAUAUUCGAUGAAAUUCGACGCAUUUUCUUGAGUCAAAUAUAGUGUCGGUGCCAGAUUUUGAAUUAAACUAUUUUGGACUCUG
This is an RNA transcript of Mercenaria mercenaria, 13182 nucleotides long. RefSeq lists it as uncharacterized. The record is from RefSeq and is a predicted model, not a curated record. Lineage: Eukaryota; Metazoa; Mollusca; Bivalvia; Venerida; Veneridae. The transcript is spliced from 67 exons.